UCAAUUAGUCUGGCUCCUUUGGGAGCAGCACUGGCUCAGUCUGGCAGCUUUGCCAGUGGUCUUGGUUGGCUUUCCCUGGUUUCGCCCAUAUGAGUCUUGGUCUCCUGCUGCUGAAAGAGGAAACGCUUUUGCUGGCUGCACAGCUAGGGUCUCCAGAGAAGUCUGAGCUGUAGCUGGUGUGCAGCUGGCAAGCCUGAAUUUAACGCCAGCUAGCAAGCCUGGAGAAAGGAGUGUUUAUCAUCUUGGGUGUCCACAAUGGAGGAAAGGGGGUGCUGCAGCAGUAACAGAUGGGAUACUAUUCUGCUCUGGUUCCCCACAAAAGACUGAGGGAUGGCCUGAGGAUCGGCCUUGUGAACCUCACAGGAAUAAGAAUGGCUGAACUCUUAACAAUACAGGAGCCGCUGUGCCGGCGUAGCUGGGAUCAAAAGUGCACUGGAUUAUCCGAAGCAGCAGCUCUCUGUCACUUCCAUGGAUGUACCUCUAUGCCUCAGUGAUGAGCCACAGCAUUUCAUUUGACUUUUUUCCAGAGCCCAGGGCAGUCACACAUAACAUUGCUUGGGCUGGUCACACACCUCCACCUGAGAGAACGUGGCUGCUGAGAGAGCCAACGUCUUCCUCCUCAAGAUUUCUUCUCCUUCCCUUACUCCCUCCUUUCCUCCCUCCCUCCCUCCUUCCUUUGCUGUCCUUCGUGCUCUGUUUUGCAGCACGCUGCUCUGGCCUUCCCAUCCAAAGGACUUUCCAGCAGCUGCAACUGGAAACAAAACCAUGGACAAGUUUUGCUGAGGAAUUCAGCAUGCCAGCUGCAAGGAUCGGGCAGCACCAGCAAACACAAGCUGCAGAAGGGGUCUCCAGCUGCUGCAGGUGGUACUAUUGCUGCAGACAAGGCUGUCCCCUCUGCAUGCUCCUUCAUGGAGUGGGCUGGUGCCAUGCAGCGAUGGCCUUAUUCUCCACUAUGAUCGGAUGUUCAUUAGGCAGUCAGGUGGGGGAAACGGGGAAGCUAACAUCGAUAACAUGAGAUUUGGUCCAGGGAUUUCCCCUUUCUCCUUCUCCUUCCCUCCAGCUGAGCUCACUCCGGCAGGAGGAAAAUUCCCCCUCAUUGAGAUUAAUGAACCCGCCUUGCUGGCUGGGAGACAGGCUGCCGGUAUUACGUGUUAUGCUGCAUGUAUAUCCAUCAGCCACAAGGCUCUGGCAAGAGGCACUGGCUGGAAUUAACCUGCAGUAACCCUGCUGUGCAGGGGCAGCCUUGGCGGGGUGUGCCUGCCCCGGCUGUGCUGGAGUAUGAAAGCCAUUAUAAUCCACUCAUUCAUGGCGCUUAAAGAGCCAGAGGAGUUUUUUCCUUGUUCUCCUAGAAGGGAGGAUGGGUUGGAAACAAUAAUGCAUAGCAUUACCCAUCCUGAUGGGGCAUUGUGUGCUUUACCCAGCCCAGCUCGCCAUGGCAUGAGCACAACAAGUUUUAAAGUAACAUUUUUAUUAUGAACAAAUAAAAUUUCAGAUCA
This is a long non-coding RNA of Melopsittacus undulatus (budgerigar), 1496 nucleotides long. RefSeq lists it as uncharacterized. The record is from RefSeq and is a predicted model, not a curated record. The transcript is spliced from 3 exons. Lineage: Eukaryota; Metazoa; Chordata; Aves; Psittaciformes; Psittaculidae.